UUCUUCUCCUUCUUCUUCUUCCUCGUCUUUUGUAAUUUUUUUUAAUGGAAACCGCCCAUGGCGACUGCUGGUUUAGCAUCAGCAGGUGGUGAUGGCAACAUUGUGAGUGCUAAAACACCGCUCGCGGCAGCUGCAACUGCUCCAACUACAAAUCCAGGCAAGUUUCCUCCUCCAAACAAAUCAUCCCAGGGCCCUCCUACUAGUGACACCAACAUCUGUGGUACAACAAUUGCAAGAUUGAGCACUCCUAGUGACAAACCUUGUCCUGAACCAGCAUUACUAGAAAAUAUAGAUGCCAAAGCAAAUGGAAUACUAAAAGUUACCGCAAGAGGAAUACCAAGGGCGGCAAAGAGAAGCAAGGCACCGAUUUUAACACCAGGCGUCGGGCCCAUGAGUGUACCGGCGGCGUCGUGCCGGCGAGAUUUCUCGGCCAUUUUGGUUACCAAAAUAGUCAUAGCUAAGCAAAUAGCUAAAACGAAGUUCAAAAUCCCCCAUAGUCUCUUAGCACCACCGAUCUUCUUCCCUAAAAAUUCAACCCCAAGUGACAUAAACCCUAGAACAACAGAUUGCAACAGUAAUCCUAAUGCACCAGCGCGUACACCCAAAUCGUACAGUUUCGCAUCACCGACUUGUCCACCGAAAACCUCCUUAGCCAUCCAAUCUGUGUCGUAUAAGAAAAAGGGAAACCACGCAAUCCAGUUCAAACAGGUUACUAAUAGAAGAAUCCACAUGGGUCUAGGUAAAUCUUUCAAAGCCCCAAAAAUUUCACCGAAAAACGGUACUUUCGAUUUUCCGGCACCGGAUAAUUUCUCGUCGAUUUCUAGCUCUUCUUUCUCCGGGAGUUCGUUUUCACGGACUAAAGUUAAGGCUAAAGUUGUUAAACUGAGUAAAAGGAAUAUAGCGAUGAAGAAACAACUCUUCAGAUUUGCACAGUACAUAUCGCAGGCUUUGGUUUUUGAGAAGGGGAAUACUUUGAAUAGGCGAGAAUAUGAACCGGCGGCGUACCCCAGAAUGUUUCCGACGGCCAUGAAAAAUGAGAAAAAUGCAUUUGCUGUUCUCAUCCUGCCGGAUUUUCCGCCGGAGAGAUCAGCCAGUAGUGCUCUGCAUGGGCCCUGUAACAUGUUGUUAGCAACAUCAAGGAUCCAAAAGCCGACGACGAAUACAGCAAUCGCUCGUGGUUUAGAUCCUUUUCCGAGAGGGUCACCGGAGGCAUGACCAAGGUCGGCGGCGAAUCCGAUCAGAAAAACGGCAAUGGUAACCAGUGCAGCUCCGGCGGCAAUGAAGGGUCGGCGACGACCGAAACGUGAGGAGCAAUUAUCACUGUAGUAACCGACCACUGGUUGAACAAUCAUACCAGAAAUGGGUCCACAAAGCCAAAUAAAAGAGGCAAAUCGAUGAGGAAUACCGAGUAAUUGAACGUAAGGUGUAAGCAAAGAGAGCUGAAGAGCCCAACCAAAUUGAACACCAGCAGCUAUGGAAGCUACAACUAUAAUUUUCCAUAGCUUUGAUGGUGGUAAAGGCUGUUCAAUUUGUAGAGAAGAUGAAACUGUAAGUUUCCCUUUUGUACCAUUCUCCAUUUUUU
This 1582-nucleotide unclassified non-coding RNA is filed under the name Hevea brasiliensis (rubber tree). Lineage: Eukaryota; Viridiplantae; Streptophyta; Magnoliopsida; Malpighiales; Euphorbiaceae. The record is from RNAcentral.